RNAcentral lists this non-coding RNA (101 nucleotides) under chicken gut metagenome. Its description in RNAcentral is "SAM riboswitch (S box leader)". It matches the Rfam family "SAM riboswitch aptamer (S box leader)". Rfam says of the family: The SAM riboswitch is found upstream of a number of genes which code for proteins involved in methionine or cysteine biosynthesis in Gram-positive bacteria. The SAM riboswitch acts at the level of transcription termination control. The predicted structure consists of a complex stem-loop region followed by a single stem loop terminator region. The record is from RNAcentral.
UUAUCAAGAGUGGACGAGAGACUCGGCUUGUUGACUCCACAGCAACCUACAAUUUAUUUGAAAGGUGCUAAAACCGACAGAGCAAGAGCUUUGAGUGAUGA